RNAcentral lists this long non-coding RNA (1171 nucleotides) under Triticum aestivum (bread wheat). RNAcentral's name for it is "long non-coding RNA (TAES_LNC020229)". The stretch from base 510 to 644 matches the Rfam family "MIR1120/MIR1122 microRNA precursor family". The record is from RNAcentral. Lineage: Eukaryota; Viridiplantae; Streptophyta; Magnoliopsida; Poales; Poaceae.
GGAGUGAUAUACUGUCAACAAUUGUAGCACGGCGAAGUAUGUGAUUCAAAGAAAGUACCAAUGAAAAUCUACAAACGAUACGGAUCGAAGGUGGGAUCCUUUUCUCUCGAGGCAAGUUCGCAGGCUUUGACCAAAAAAUAAAUUUCAAUUAACUUGGAGUGGAGAUAGUGCGUAAAGCGCAAAUUAAAUCAUAAGCGGGCAAGUAUUCCUAGCCAAGCUAGCUCUCCGUACCUGCAUCUACAUGCAACCAACUACAUACUAGUAGCAGCUCCUGCAUGCUAUUCGUCGCCAAAUUAAGAAGAUCGAGGGAGAAACACACAAACCAGAGGGAGAUAUUUCUUUACAAAACAUAUAGUAGUAGAGUACGUGCAGUCAACACAUGGCUAGAAAAACCCUAGAUCGAGUAGUAGUAGUAGAGUUUCAUCAACAUAGAUACCAUGCAUUGUCUGGUGCUAAUGCAUAUGCUCGUAUCAAUACCAUGCUUGCCGGUGAUUAACUUCAACUACUACGUACUACUCCCUCCGUUCUGAAUUACUUGUCUUGGAUUUAUCUAGAUACGGAGGUAUCUAGCACUAAAAUGAGUCUAGAUACAUCCGUAUCUAGACAAAUCCAAGACAAGUAAUUCGGAACGGAGGGAGUACAUGCUUAGCUUGCACACCACGAGGGGAUCGGAAGCUCUGGACCGGAUCUUGAGCUCAGGCCGCCGCACCGCCUGCCCCUGCGCCUUCCGCUCCUUGGUUCCCGGCGCCGGCUCCGCCCUGCGGGGGGUUCCAGCAAGCCCGUAUCCCACGGAUCAUGAUGCGGCCGGUGAGGUUGAGGAUCCCCCCAAUGACCGCGAGAGCAGGGAUGGCCAGCACGCCGCAACCAAAACCCGCCAAAAAUCCCUCGCCGUACGGCGUCAUGGCUCAGUUCGUGGCUGGAAUUGAGCGGAGAGUGUGAUCGAUGGAUGCGGAGGUGAAGUGGAGGCCGCCCGGGGUGGAAGAAAGGAGGAUUAUAAAGACGAUUAAGAGCGGGGAAUCUCUCUUUCUCACUCACGCAAUGACGCUGGAAUUUUCCGCCUGUCCCAAAUGAGGAAAACGCGGCCAGCUUGCGUGUGCAGGCUGGGCUGGCUACUUUGGCACCGAUAAGGUAACCUGCAUACAUGUGAUAUGGGUCGAUGGCCUGCUCUGCU